This is a long non-coding RNA of Bombus terrestris (buff-tailed bumblebee), 7645 nucleotides long. RefSeq lists it as uncharacterized. The transcript has 2 exons. Lineage: Eukaryota; Metazoa; Arthropoda; Insecta; Hymenoptera; Apidae. The record is from RefSeq and is a predicted model, not a curated record.
CGCUGCGGCGGUGACGGCGGCGGCGACGGUGGCUUUCGUCCCGUCGGCCAAUGGAACACGGUGCCAGUCGUCGCUAUCACGGGCACCGCGGCGCUGGCCGCAGUUCACCAAGCGGCGUCCACGCGACUCGCGACGCGCGUCUCUGGUCCUCGAGCUGGUUAUGCGGCUUUCGAGAGGGCUUUUCGAGGCUCCCUCGAGGCGAAACCGUCGUUCUCGCGUUGACCUGUGCGCGAAUCUCGUUAGACACUCGUACAAAACGGACUACACCGGUUUUCUUAUCGUCCGAGGCCCAAGACUUUUGAUUUUAGGUAUCGAUCGCAAACAGUGUUCGAUAUUCGUUUGACGUGAAACGAUCUGGAUCAAUCGUCAGAAAAGAAGAAGCGUUUGAUGGCAGAUGAAGAGAGAUAAGACUUUGGCACGUUAUUACACUGUGUUAUAAAAGUUUUAUUUAAAUAGGAAUACGACAUAUUAUAAGGUAUAUGGAGAUAUUUGUAGCUGAUUGAUCUUAUAAAGAUCUUAUAAAGAUCUUAUAAAGAUUGAUAAAGGGUGAAGAAGGAUAAGAGAUAGCUUGACAUUUUGUAGGUAGAAAACAUUUUAUGUUUGGUCUGUAGUAGUGGAUGGUUUAGCGCGCCAAUUUCUUACGGGCUUUGCAAUCGAAGAUAUUCAAACGGUAUCUAUGUUGUUGAUGUGGGUGAUGAAUUUAGUCAGUUGUUUAUUUAUUUUUCUCAAUCGUGUUCGUUAAAUGAUUUCGUUAAUGAUUUCUUUUUGUAAAUUUUCUAAUAGGGAUUACUAGUAAUCUCUUUAUUUUCUUCAUUCUUUGUGAAUAAAUUUUGUAAAUAUUGAUCUACUAGUAAUUACUGAAAUUUAAAAUGAGACAAGUUCUUCAUUGUAAAACUUUAUACUACUUUCUUUUUUUUCUGCAAAACUUUCCACUUCUCGAAACUGCGUAUGGUGCCUUAUCGAUGUUCCAGAUUUUCUACGAUAUACAGAAAAAUUAAUAUUCAAAAUUAUCUGGAGGGUUUUAGCAAUGUCUGGCUUUAUUUGAGUGUGGUUUGAAAUAUUGAAUCAGCUGUUUAUGAAAAAAAUAAUUCCAUCUUUAUAAUAUCUUUUCGCGAUCUCGUCGAAUAUCCUUGUCUUUUUAUGGAUAUUUUGAAUUGAUUUCAUUCGAUAGGGUUUCGGUAGAAAAUAUUUCCAAUUCUGAUUUUUAAUCAGAACAAUACUCGUACUAAUAUCUUCAAUGAAAAAAUGAUACUUUCACUAAUAAAUCUUGUUUUUUACAUCGUUAAAAAGGCCGCUGGAACAUCCUAUCUAUUGAUCACACUACGCUAUAUUUAUAGAUUGAUUGCGUAAUAAUCCGAUUAAUCGAUUGAUUAAUUAAGAAACCUUUUUUUAUCCCUUUUUUAAAUUUAGUUGCUUCUUAUUCUUACUUAAAAUAAUUAACAUCAUAACUCUUUCUGUCAAAAUUCUUCACUUUCGUCAAAGUUGCGAUUCAACGUUGAAACAAUAAGAAAAUAUAUUCUUUUUGAGAUUAUUUGAAAUUGCAGUACAGUGUAACAGUAACAUUUUCAGAAAUAUAAAUUCACGUUAACGGAUUUGACUUUUUCUUUCGUAUUUCUACGAUGCAAUAAGUUGCAACAAAGUAAGCAUUAAUUAUGUCAGAUUUCAAAGUUUCCUUCGUCAUGUUCGUAUUAUCUAUGCAAAUAAAGAUGGCGAGUCGUCGUAACUGACGACUUUUACGGAAACAUUUAUUUCCAAGCAUUUAUGAAAUUCACAAUUACCGUGUAAGGUGCUUUCACGACUCACAACGACGAGGAAAGCUUCCUUUUAAGAUGUAUUGAACGUGCAAUGUUAAAAAUUUAACUGGAUAUAAUGUGAUUUUUACAAUCGAGUCUGAAACGUUCGCCACAAAACACUUCUGUCAGAUGAAAGCAACUUUCAAUCUAUCAACAGGAACAACAUUGAUAAUAUCUCCGUUUUCAUCAGAAAUUAGUCAGAUUCUUAUCAAAGCGCAACGUAUUGCGGGAUUGACGUCAGGUCAUGUAAAUCAUCGACACUAUCAAUCGUAAUCUGUCAUAUUUGUCUCUUAAUCAAAUUUCAAACACUUGGACACACAGCUUUGCUUGAUUUUUCCGUGUGCAUUUUAUUAUCUGUUCUACUUAUACCUAGAAAGUACGAUCUGCGAAAUUCAUUCCAAAUUUCAUAACAACAAAAUGUUCUUCCAGAUACAAAAUGAAAUAUAACGGAACAUUUUCGAAAAUUUGUAAGAUAUCAAACGCAAUUUUUGGAUAGAAUUGAUCAAUGAUAUAGGAACUUCGAAAUAAAAGAAGAAUUUUCUUCUUCGACAUUUAUCAAAUUCGUUAUAAGUUUCCAAAUAAUAAAAAUCUAUGGAUGUUAUAAUGUAAAAGGAGAAUACUUUUUUGCAAAUUUUGUUCGAUAUAUUCAAAUUCGUUUUCGAAAAUAUUCAUAAAACAAAAGAAAUCGCAUUUGAUAGGAAGGAUUGUCCGAUUUUUCGAUGGGAUCCACGUCGAUGUAUAUGACUUUCACGGCGUUCGAAAGGAGAGUGGUGGACGAAGUUAAAUAUAUAUCCGCGAAGAGGACUGCUCGCAGGAUCAUAAAAUAUUUACCGCAGCGUGACACGAAGUCAAAGGGGCAGACUUUAUUGACAGACGAAACGACGAAGCUUACAAAAUUUAUCCGCCGUUAAUUCUCGCUCCAUUUGCGUUUCAUCCCAAUUAUUCAUCGGCCGUCUCGCCUGUCUCUCAUUCGCUUCCUGUUAAGCGGUCCCGACUUUUAUUAAGUUUUCUCAACCGGUUCGUCAUCCAGUUUCGCGUGUACGUUUCAUGAAGUUAAGUGCUUCUUAAAAAUUUGAUUUUCAUCGAGUGUUGAUUCGAGUCGCCAUGAAUAUUUCAGCAGUUAGUCUCAGUUUUAGAUAUGUACAAUUAAAGAAUCUUGAAAUCGAUUUUUCUAUUUCGUAGGAGAUGAGUUGGGAGCCCUUAAUGUGCAUAAUCUUCGUAAAAAGUGACGAAGCAAAAUUACUAACUGGUAACAUUAGUGCAUAUUUAUUAAAUAAUAAUUCAAUUAAAAUCAAUUAAAUAUUAUGUAUAAACAUAUACUGCAAAAUAUAGUAUAUGUAUAGGUGAUUAUAACUGUAGUCAUAUAGUAAAAAGAAUUAUUGUAUAUUAUAUUAGUAUUUGUAUAUUUAAAAUUCAUUUUCUGUAUCAAUAAUAGUCAUCGUGUUUUUAAUAUAUUUAUAAUAGAAAUAAAAUAUUGUAUCCUGUCAUUUUGACAGAUUUGGUAGUUCCAUUCUAGUGCUAAAAAAAAUAAUUACACUCCUACAUCAAUUUAAACAUCGACCCGAAUAUUUUUUUAAAUGUGAGUUAAUUUCGAUAUUUGAAGAGAGUAGCAUAUCAAAUUUGCGAUUGAUAUUACACGAAAAUAUUAUAUUUUAGGGAUUACAAUUCCAGAUUUAAUCGCAAAAUUUCAUUCUUGCACUGGUAUAAUUUAAUUUCAAUGUAUGGCUGUCCGCCUUUACUAUGGAUGUAGGUGGGAAAUUCAAUUUCGAAGAGUCGUUAGUUCGCCCGAUAGAGACGCGCUUCAAACAAACGUCUUUGGUAAAGUUCAAAGGUUUUCCAUGAAACGAGACGGUGACAGCGAUUACCUAUAGAUAUUCAGCGUCGAACACGCUUGAAUAAAUAUCAGACGCGAAGGUGUUGGACCUUGUGCUCUCCGAUAUCAGCUAUAAAUGCAUAUUUGGAACAAGGAAUGCGCUUUCAGCUCGAAUUAUGAAUCCAAUAGUAGGUCUCCUCAGAUAUGUUAUUCUGCUGAAACAGAAGUGCUAUUUUCUUCUUCGAUUAAAUAAUCUCUACCUUGAAAAUUGCUUUCUCGUUGUAUGAUACUCAGCUUCGAAUAAUCUACUUGCUAAAUCGAGGAUAAGUCAGACAUAUCAAAUGAAAAAAACAUUGUCUAGUUUUAAAUCUGUAUUAUCGAAUCUGAAUCGUAGAAUAGUACAUAUUUUCUAAAUUAAUAGAAUCAUCUAGGCUUCCGACUCAUAUUGUAUUUUAGUAUUUCAUACAAUCUUCGUUUCAUAUCACCUUUGGAAAAUUAAGAAAAUACACUGUCGCUCAUAAAUAUCGGAACAAGUAAUCAAUCUCUAGUAACAAUGCAUGAAUUUUACUAAAAUAUAUGAGUUAAUAAUUAGCCAGUGGUUAAAUGUUGUGAUACUUAGUAUAUAUAUAAGCUGUCAUUAUUUAUUGAAAAGCUAAUUGAUCGUCUACUGGUUUUAUACGAUUACUGGUUAAAUAUAGUGCACAUAAUAUCUCUUUCAACAAUCAGUUAAUCACGUUGAUCAAUUACAAAUAGUUUUAUCACUUACGUAACUUAAUUUUUCUUUCCGAAUAACAUCCAUGGACAUUUACAUAUUAAUUUUAAGUGUCAGAAUGAUACAAUCUGGCAAGCUCUUAAAGAAAAUUCAAUUGACAUUUUAAAAUUUAGAUAUCUUCAUUCAGCCUGACUAUCCAGAAUUCCUCGAUUCGAUCUACAAUCAUCUAUUGUGUAAUUACCAAAUAAGACGCAAUCGAUUAAACACAUUUGAAAGCAGAGCUCGUGGCAAAGCAAUGGCAGACAGCGAGCGAUCUGUCACUAAUUGCGUGGUCGAUCAAGUUUUCAGUUUGGAAUCCGCUGUGUGUGUCAAUUGCUAAAUGACGUUCCGUAACAAUACCGAAUUAAGAUCGAUCUCUAUCUUAACAGUAGAUAACAACGUUAUUGUUCAGCCAGGAAGUGUUUUAUCUUGCCAUUAACCGCGUUUAAGUGUAUGCUUUGAUCAUUCUGUUUAGCAUGGCGAAAAAAGGCAUUGGAAUCGAUGUUUCUUGACAUUGUCUGCAUUGUGAACUCGAUUUCCAUUGGUGAUGGGAAGGAAAUUCUUCGUUGAGAAAAACCUAAAUGCGCUUUGACGCGUCGAAAGUAAACUAGUUGGAAACUGAAAACGGUUAUCGAUGUCCUCUGAUGACAAUGAUGAUGUUUUACGACAGCCAAUUCCGAAGGAAGUCGUUAUUUUCAGUUACUGAUUUUAAGAACUGUCAUGGAAGGAUGAUUUAGUGUCAGUGUCCUAAUUCCUUUGUAAGCAGAAGCAACUUUUAGUGUUCCGGAGAUCGUAUGAAUGACACGUUUUUACUCUUUUGGAAAGGUAAAACUGUGCUUUCAUAAUAUCUGGGCAUUCUAUUGAUUUGCUAGUCAAGUGACGACAAAUAUUGAUCGUCGUCAUCGAUCAUUAAUUAUAAAUAUUGAUUCUCAAUUAUUAAUUGUUAUCUUUUGAUCGAAGUUUAAUUAUAGUUGUGAUUAAUGUGUACAAAGGUGUAUUAUAUUGGGUUGGCAACUAAGUGAUUGCGGAUUGUGUCAUUAGGUGGUAUUGACAAAAUCCGCAAUCACUUAGUUGCCAAUCCAAUAUUAAGCGAACAUUGUUGGCGACUAAAGUUGAUUAAAUUUACUUUUCAAACUCAUUGUCAGGUAUUACUUUCAUAAAAAAGAUGCUUCUAUUCUAAUCAUUAUAUAUAAUUGUAAUUUAUAAUCAAAUUUUUCAUUUAUAUACAAAUAUUUCGUAACCGUUAAUUGUUAAUUACAAUAAAUAUUGCCCAACACUGAAGUAUGGUCUGAUAUAUUUUCUUUUCUUUAUAAAUUAGUUGAUCUUAGUUAUCAUUUUCUGUUUACAAAAUUUUUUGAUGUUUAUUUUCAAUGCUACUCUAAAAUGAUUACUGGAUCUCAUAGAUUUUCUAACUAAAUGCAGAAAAUAUGUUAGACAAAACAAUUUAUUUAUUCAAGACUUAGUGUAUUUAUGACUCAAGUUUUAUUAAUGCGUUUUAUAUUGCCCUAGAUUUAUAAAACGAACUGUUUAAUGCUCCAAACGCUUCCUCUAAAUACGAAUGAAUCAGCAUCUGCUAAACUUACGUCGAAGGGGUUCAGUCCCUUCGAAACGAUUACACUUUCGAGAAAUUUAUAUUUUCGGCGCGAUGGAGGGCUAUUUUUACCCGCGUUUGAUCGUUCCACCAGUUUAAGUUCAUUCCUGACGUUUCGACGUUCUUCAUUCCAUACUCGUUAAAAUCUUGGAAGGGUUCACUAUGCAGCCUAAAAAGACUGAAAUUUCCCAAGAUUUUUUUAUGUUUUUCAUGAAUUAUUAUCGGCCAAAUUUGCUUUCACAUUAAACUUAUUCAUUUUAUUUUUUCUAUACUAAAAUUUAUGAAUAAUUAGAUUGCCGAUCUAAGCAUUUAUUUCAUCUACUAAGUAUUAUAGUAGAUAUUUUAUUUGAUAUAUUUUAUAUAUUUUUGUAUAUUAUGUGCACACUAUAUGUUUUUGCAUCUUUAAAUCUCUCAAACGUAUACAUUUCCAUAUGCGUUAUUAGCAUAUUAAUAUAUUGAUACAGCUUUCUUAAUUAAUAGUUGCUUACACAGAUUACAGAAAAUAAUUCACUAUAUUUUCCAACAAUUAAACCCCUGAUAUGUCGAAAGUUUCCAAUUCCUCGACGUUUCCGUCAAAAUAACCAAUCAAUUUCCACAAAUUAUCAAUAUAACCGAACCUAAUAUAUUAACUGCUUAAUGCUAAUAACCAGCCAGAGAAAGCAAAUUUGCCAACAUAGAGUGCAACGACCUCCGACGAUCAAUCACAUGGUUGACAACUAACUUCUUUCUGUUUCUUUCAAAAAGGAACUCGAAUUGUCACACGAGGACGAUCGAGUUGCUAUUUGUCAGCGGGUUCUGGUUGAACGCGCUGAACCCUUGUCCGACUGACGAUUUCACAAGCGUGACCGAUUAGACAACCAGUUUUACUGGCUUAUAAACAAUCCGCAUGAACGAUAGCGCUAAUCGAACGUAUGAGACACCUGUUCCGAUUGGUCAGUAAAUAACGACAAAAAGAAAGUAUUCGGUAUUCGCGCGACGCGAUCCUCUCGACCACUGAUGACACGGUGAAUAUUAAUAAAACUCUGUCGCAAUUAAUUUCUUUAAGUAGUGUUAGCAAAGUUAGUAGAUUUCCAAUAAAUCAGUGAGGAUUAAGUACUGAAAUACUUCGUAUGAAUGAAGAAUAUAGGAAGGCAACAUUAUCGAAAAACAUAAAUUAAAUAAUUUAUAUAUAGUUUGUCCGAAGAAAGAAAAAUGUGCAAAGGCAACAGAUUAUUGAAAAAUAAAAUAAAAUAUAUUAUUGACUGAACCAAUAUUAUAAAUAAAAUUUUGCAUUGGUACAACAUUGCAUUGGUCUUUGUUUUUUAAAUUUGUUUGUUUAGUAUCGCGUCAGCUUAUUAAUCAAACAUUGCGUUGAUCCUUAAUAACUUAUAAUCAUUCAUCUCUAUAGCACGAGAAGAUGAUAGAAAAUAGAUUACUAGGUCCUUGUACUGAUAAAAUGGAAAUUUCGGUGCAAGUCGAAAGGUGGAACUGGAACAAAGUUAUUUCGUAACAUAGCUCUAGAGUCGAUAGAAGGCCACGAGUGGAAAUACACGAUCUUUCUAGGACGAUUUUUAUCUUCCAAGGUUGUUAUCGAGAAAACACGAUACCAGUAACUACACACGUUUGUGCAUACUACGUAUCAUUCGAAAGUGUAGGAUAAAAGGAAACGAUACAAACAUGGAUAAACUAAUCUGUAUAUAUAAGUUGUAAUGUUCCUG